UACGUAGGGCGCAAGCGUUGUCCGGAAUUAUUGGGCGUAAAGAGCUCGUAGGCGGCCUGUUGCGUCCGCUGUGAAAUCCCGGGGCUCAACCCCGGGCCUGCAGUGGAUACGGGCUGGCUAGAGGCAGGCAGGGGAGAACGAAAUUCCUGGUGUAGCGGUGAAAUGCGCAGAUAUCAGGAGGAACACCGGUGGCGAAGGCGGUUCUCUGGGCCUGUACUGACGCUGAGGAGCGAAAGCGUGGGGAGCGAACAGG
This 253-nucleotide ribosomal RNA is filed under the name uncultured bacterium. RNAcentral describes it as "partial 16S ribosomal RNA". It matches the Rfam family "Bacterial small subunit ribosomal RNA", at positions 524 to 776 of the family's 1533-position model. The record is from RNAcentral.